UGCCCCUCUCCGCGCCCCACGGGACGUUUUUACUCCCCCCGCACCCCACGCGCCCCGCCACGCCACGCACCGCGCCCGCUGGCCUUGAUGAAGUGGAUGGCGGUGUCGGCGCCGCCCUCGUCGGGGGAGUAGAUGUGGUGGCGGACGGUGAGGUUGCUGCCGUCCUGCAGCUCCUGGAAGACGCCCUCGAUGGUGAAGUAGUAGGGCCGGUCGUCGGUCUUGCGGUCCACGUAGAGCAGGGCGGCGCGGGAGCUCCAGUUGAAGUGGGCGUGCAGGUGGGAGACGAAGGCGCCCAGCUUGGGGGCCGAGGGCCCGGUGCGCACGGUGGUGCGGUAGUGCUCGCGCUUCUCGCUGAAGCCCACCGCCACCGCCCCGGCCGUGAUGAGGGGCAGCCGCCAGUGCGAGGCGAAGCGGCCCACCGAGGCGGCGGGGUAGACGCACCCCGGCCCGAAGAGCACGUCGGGGUCGUGGUACAGCUUCAGGUCCACGGCUUUGAGCGGCGCCACGUACUCGGAGCACGCGCCCCCCAGCUCCGAGCUCAUGAACUCGACGCGCACCGAGAAGGGCCGCGGCAGCAGCGGCGGCUCCCCACGCUGCAGCGCCUCCAGCGCCAGGCUCAGCGCCGGUUCCACGCGCGGCCAGGCCCACGCGUAGCUCACGUUGCGCUCCGGCAGCACCACGGCCACCGUCAGGUUGGCGACCGCCCCGUCGGGGGACGCCGCCGCCGCCGCCGCUGCUCGCCGCCCCCCGCCGCCGCCGCCGCCGCCGCCGCCGCCGCUGCCCCCCGCCGCCGCCAGCAGCGCCGCCAGCACCAGCGGCAGCCCCGGAGCCAUGGGCCCCGCCGGCUCCUCCGCCCGCGGAUCCUGCGCCCGCCGCCGCCGCCGCCGCCGCCUGCGCCUCCCCCGGGCGGGGCCGCCCCGGACCGGGCAGCGCCCCCCCGGACCGCCCCGUCCCGCCCCCGGAGCCGCCGCCGCCGCCACCGCCCGCCCCCACGGGGAGAGGGGAGAGGGAGGAGGGGGCGGCCCCGCCGUCGGGGAGGGGGCUGGAGCAGGGGGGGCU
Molecule: long non-coding RNA, 1059 nt
Filed under: Anser brachyrhynchus (Pink-footed goose)
Lineage: Eukaryota; Metazoa; Chordata; Aves; Anseriformes; Anatidae
Description: lncRNA (ENSABRG00000022029.1)
Source: RNAcentral